Non-coding RNA from Fonsecaea monophora, 83 nucleotides. The record is from the annotation of a RefSeq genome assembly. NCBI's taxonomy places the organism in Eukaryota, Fungi, Ascomycota, Eurotiomycetes, Chaetothyriales, Herpotrichiellaceae.
CCACGCAGUCGAGCAGCCUCGUGGCUCCCACGGCCUGUUGGGCCGUGUUGGGCGCCCAGCAGUUCGAGGCCAUGUUCAUGGCC